CCUACGGGGGGCAGCAGUGGGGAAUAUUGGACAAUGGGGGCAACCCUGAUCCAGCCAUGCCGCGUGUGUGAAGAAGGCCCUCGGGUUGUAAAGCACUUUCAGUGAGGAAGAACGCCUGGUGGUUAAUACCCAUCAGGAAAGACAUCACUCACAGAAGAAGCACCGGCUAACUCCGUGCCAGCAGCCGCGGUAAUACGGAGGGUGCGAGCGUUAAUCGGAAUUACUGGGCGUAAAGCGCGCGUAGGUGGCUUGAUAAGCCGGUUGUGAAAGCCCCGGGCUCAACCUGGGAACGGCAUCCGGAACUGUCAAGCUAGAGUGCAGGAGAGGAAGGUAGAAUUCCCGGGGUAGCGGUGAAAUGCGUAGAGAUCGGGAGGAAUACCAGUGGCGAAGGCGGCCUUCUGGACUGACACUGACACUGAGGUGCGAAAGCGUGGGUAGCAAACAGGAUUAGAUACCCGGGUAGUC
RNAcentral lists this ribosomal RNA (465 nucleotides) under Vreelandella stevensii. RNAcentral's name for it is "partial 16S ribosomal RNA". It matches the Rfam family "Bacterial small subunit ribosomal RNA", at positions 338 to 795 of the family's 1533-position model. The record is from RNAcentral. Lineage: Bacteria; Pseudomonadati; Pseudomonadota; Gammaproteobacteria; Oceanospirillales; Halomonadaceae.